This 396-nucleotide unclassified non-coding RNA is filed under the name Hevea brasiliensis (rubber tree). The record is from RNAcentral. Lineage: Eukaryota; Viridiplantae; Streptophyta; Magnoliopsida; Malpighiales; Euphorbiaceae.
UGGUCCCAUUUACAAUUUUUAAGUAAAAAAUAUUAGUUAUUGCAAUGGUUUUGAGAUCCCUGUGUCCUUUAAGAGCAUUCAGGAAACUGGUAAAUCAUACUGAUAGGUGAUAAAUUAAUCUUUUUGGUCAGGCUAACUGUUGUUUAAAAUCUGUUAAUGGUCUUAUUGUGGAUCUUGAUUUCUGGUCUGAUAGCUUGGUAGCUAGCUGCAUGGCUACAUAUGAGUGAAAACUUCUCAAAGUUUUUAUAUGUUUAUUUUUUCUUUAUCUGGCUUUGAUCUCUGUGCUGGUUUUGUCCUGAGGUUGGGAAUUUGUUGUUCCCUUACAUAUGGUAGAAAAAUGCAGAUUGCUCUUUGGGACAUUUUUAGCAAUAUUGGAUUCUUCGUGUCUCUUCAAUA